ACUCCUACGGGAGGCAGCAGUGGGGAAUUUUGGACAAUGGGCGAAAGCCUGAUCCAGCCAUGCCGCGUGAGUGAAGAAGGCCUUCGGGUUGUAAAGCUCUUUCGGUAGGGAAGAAAUUGCACGGGUUAAUACCCUGUGUAGAUGACGGUACCUGGAGAAGAAGCACCGGCUAACUACGUGCCAGCAGCCGCGGUAAU
This 197-nucleotide ribosomal RNA is filed under the name uncultured bacterium. Its description in RNAcentral is "partial 16S ribosomal RNA". It matches the Rfam family "Bacterial small subunit ribosomal RNA", at positions 335 to 524 of the family's 1533-position model. The record is from RNAcentral.